Molecule: ribosomal RNA, 310 nt
Filed under: uncultured bacterium
Lineage: Bacteria
Description: bacterial SSU rRNA
Rfam family: Bacterial small subunit ribosomal RNA
Source: RNAcentral
GUGCCAGCCGCCGCGGUAAUACGGAGGGUGCGAGCGUUGUCCGGAAUCACUGGGCGUAAAGGGCGCGUAGGUGGCUUUUCAAGCGCGCGGUGAAAGCCCGGGGCUCAACCCCGGGUCGGCCGUGCGGACUGGGAGGCUCGAGCACUGUAGGGGCGGGUGGAAUUCCGGGUGUAGCGGUGGAAUGCGUAGAGAUCCGGAAGAACACCGGUGGCGAAGGCGGCCCGCUGGGCAGGAAGCCCCCUCACGGGGGCGGCUGACACUGAGGCGCGACAGCGUGGGGAGCAAACAGGAUUAGAUACCCGCGUAGUCC